UACAGAGGGUGCGAGGGAUAUUCGGAAUUACUGGGCGUAAAGCGCACGUAGGUGGCGACGUAAGUCGGGUGUGAAAGCCCCGGGCUCAACCUGGGAAUUGCAUUCGAGACUGCAUUGCUGGAGUACGGAAGAGGAGGGCGGAAUUCACGGUGUAGCGGUGAAAUGCGUAGAUAUCGGGAGGAACAUCAGUGGCGAAGGCGGCCCUCUGGUCCAGUACUGACACUCAAGUGAGAAAGCGUGGGGAGCAAACAGG
This 253-nucleotide ribosomal RNA is filed under the name uncultured bacterium. RNAcentral describes it as "partial 16S ribosomal RNA". It matches the Rfam family "Bacterial small subunit ribosomal RNA", at positions 524 to 776 of the family's 1533-position model. The record is from RNAcentral.